GACGAACGCUGGCGGCGUGCUUAACACAUGCAAGUCGAGCGGUAAGGCCUCUUCGGGGGUCCCCGAGCGGCGAACGGGUGGGUAACAUGCCGGUGACCUGCCCUCAGCUCUGGGAUAAGCCUGGGAAACUGGGUUUAUUACCGGAUAUGAACUUUUUUUGCAUGGGGUUUGGUGGAAAGUUUUUUUGGCUGGGGAUGGGCCCGCGGCCGUUCCGCUUGUUGGUGGGGUGAUGGCCUACCAAGGCGACGACGGGACGCCGGCCCGGGGGGGCGACCGAGCACACUGGGACCGGGGCACGGCCCAGACUCCUACGGGAGGGAGCAGGGGGGAAUAUUGCGAAAUGGGCGGAAACCUGACGCAGCGAAGGCGCGGGGGGGAUGGCAGGCUUCGGGUUGGAAACGUCUUUCGACCCCGGCUGAUUUGGACGGUAGGGGGAGAAGAAGCACCGGCCAACUACGUG
This 460-nucleotide ribosomal RNA is filed under the name uncultured bacterium. RNAcentral describes it as "partial 16S ribosomal RNA". It matches the Rfam family "Bacterial small subunit ribosomal RNA", at positions 28 to 507 of the family's 1533-position model. The record is from RNAcentral.